This 254-nucleotide ribosomal RNA is filed under the name uncultured bacterium. RNAcentral's name for it is "partial 16S ribosomal RNA". It matches the Rfam family "Bacterial small subunit ribosomal RNA", at positions 524 to 776 of the family's 1533-position model. The record is from RNAcentral.
UACGAAGGGGGCUAGCGUUGCUCGGAAUCACUGGGCGUAAAGCGCACGUAGGCGGCUUGUUAAGUCGGUGGUGAAAUCCUGGAGCUCAACUCCAGAACUGCCUCCGAUACUGAGAGUCUUGGAGUCCGGGAGAGGUGAGUGGAGCUGCGAGUGUAGAGGUGAAAUUCGUAGAUAUUCGCAAGAACACCAGUGGCGAAGGCGGCUCACUGGCCCGGUACUGACGCUGAGGUGCGAAAGCGUGGGGAGCAAACAGG